Long non-coding RNA from Coffea arabica (coffee), 565 nucleotides. RefSeq lists it as uncharacterized. NCBI's taxonomy places the organism in Eukaryota, Viridiplantae, Streptophyta, Magnoliopsida, Gentianales, Rubiaceae. The record is from RefSeq and is a predicted model, not a curated record.
AACACUUCAUAAUACCAUUUCAAUUCACAUCACUCCUUGUCUCGGUAUCAUCGACAGGAGCAAGAACCGAGCUGUUUAAUUUCUUUUGCUCCUUUCUGUCCGCAAACUAGAGAGAGAGGAGAGAGUCUAGCUGAGCAUCGUCCUUCUAACCAUGAGCUGGUGAAGGGACUGAGGGCUGGACUUUCUCCAUUCCAGCCGCAACCCAGAGCAAGGGAGAGAGAGAGCUAGUGGUCUGCAUUUUCUGGGCUGCCAAAGGGAGGAGGAUUAUUUCUGCUGCUAACCGCGUGUGUGAGCUCCAUUUGAGGAUAUUGCGGGGACGCGGAAUUGGAUUCCCAACUUGAUAUCUGAACUCCACUCUUGGUUCUGGAAACUGAAAGCUGGAUGCUUACUUAAGUUUCCCUUUUGGAUUGUAUUUGAGUACUAUAACUUAUUCUGUGGGCUGUAAUAUGUUAUUUGGGAUAAUGUAUUUUCAUUCUGGAUUGCCACUUGAAACUAGAAAAUGUGUAAACCCUAAUUCGAUUACUUGGCCUGUAGAUUUGUAAUAGAGAUUUAUGUAUUUAUCUAU